CUCUCGUGCCUCUUAACCGGGCAAGCAGGCAGGCUGGCCCUGGCUGCCAGUCUGCCACAAGCAGCAGCAGUUUAGCUUGAGAUGUGACCUCGAUAAGAUGUCUCACCGUCAUCUGGCUGGAUGCUGCCGCGUGAGGAAGGGGAAGGGAAUCAUAAUGCAGAACGUCUCUUUGCACCGGUGGCGCUACAGAAGCAAUCGCUCGAUUCCUGGCGGAGCCUCCUUUCGGAAGGACUUGGAGCGACUGAAGGCUCCUCCUGAAGACUUCGACGGCUACAGCAGAAACCAUGCAAAUGGAGACGACUUGAAAAGUGAGUCAAUAAAUAAUGUCUCCGUCGGGAAAGGAACUGAAAAGUCA
Molecule: long non-coding RNA, 355 nt
Organism: Macrobrachium nipponense
Lineage: Eukaryota; Metazoa; Arthropoda; Malacostraca; Decapoda; Palaemonidae
Exons: 3
Source: RefSeq, a predicted model, not a curated record